Molecule: long non-coding RNA, 844 nt
Filed under: Homo sapiens (human)
Lineage: Eukaryota; Metazoa; Chordata; Mammalia; Primates; Hominidae
Description: HSALNT0370491
Source: RNAcentral
GGCACCUGUAGUCCCAGCUAUUGGGAGGCUGAGGCAGGAGAAUGGCGUGAACCCGGGAGGCGGAGCUUGCAGUGAGCCGAGAUCGCGCCACAGCACUCCAGCCUGGGCAACAGAGCGAGACUCCGUUUCAAGAAAAAAAAGAUGUAGUGAGCUAAGGUUGUGCCACUGUACUCCAGCCUGGGUGACAGGGAAAGACCCUGUCUCCAAAACAACAACAACAACAACAAAAAAAACCCGUCCGGUUUUUACUUUGUAUUCUUUAACACAGUUGUUCAAUUUGUUAGGGUGCUGAAAGUAUAGGGUAAUUUUUAAGUUUUACGUCUAUUAAUUUUGUAGUGUUGUUUUUACAAUAGCUUAACAAAAUUUUAUUUUUGUUGAGACAGGGUCUCGCUGUUGCCCAGGCUGCAGUGCAGUGGUGAGAUGUUGGCUCACUGCAGCUUCUGCCUCCCAGACUCAUGUGAUCCUCCUACUUCAGCCUCCUGAAUAGCAGGGACUACAGGCCACAGCAUAGAACAUCUCCAGCUUAGACACAGUCUCGUUCCUAACUGCCAGUUCUCAGCCACAAUGGCUCAAAGAAGCCGAAGGCUCUGGAUGGAAGAAAAUUGCUUUCCACAGGCAAAAAUGGAAGAUAUCUGCACACACUGCAAGUGCACAGACAUCAGAAGAGAGCACUGCAUUCCACAUGGCAUCCAUCUGGUAUGAAACCCCGCAUUUUUUAAUAAACGAGAAGCCUGUUCCAUAUAUAGGGAGACUCCUGAAAACCUGGUGAUACAUAUAUUUGAAAAUGAGGGUGUUUCCAUAGGAAUGAAAGAAACUGUCUGUUUAUAGAGCCUGUUACAACAGA